UACAGAGGUCUCAAGCGUUGUUCGGAUUCAUUGGGCGUAAAGGGUGCGUAGGCGGCGCGGUAAGUCGGGUGUGAAAUCUCGGGGCUUAACUCCGAAACUGCAUUCGAUACUGCCGUGCUUGAGGACUGGAGAGGAGACUGGAAUUUACGGUGUAGCGGUGAAAUGCGUAGAUAUCGGGAAGAACACCCGUGGCGAAGGCGGCUCUCUGGGACGGUACUGACGCUGAGACGCGAAAGCGUGGGGAGCGAAAAGG
This 253-nucleotide ribosomal RNA is filed under the name uncultured bacterium. Its description in RNAcentral is "partial 16S ribosomal RNA". It matches the Rfam family "Bacterial small subunit ribosomal RNA", at positions 524 to 776 of the family's 1533-position model. The record is from RNAcentral.